RNAcentral lists this transfer RNA (72 nucleotides) under Candidatus Diapherotrites archaeon CG_4_10_14_0_2_um_filter_31_5. RNAcentral describes it as "tRNA-Val". It matches the Rfam family "tRNA". Rfam says of the family: Transfer RNA (tRNA) molecules are approximately 80 nucleotides in length. Their secondary structure includes four short double-helical elements and three loops (D, anti-codon, and T loops). RNAcentral also lists the same sequence under 1 other name. Lineage: Archaea; Nanobdellati; Candidatus Iainarchaeota. The record is from RNAcentral.
GGGCCUGUGGUCUAGUGGUAUGACGUCUGCUUGACGUGCAGAAGACUGCCGGUUCGAUUCCGGCCAGGCCCA